This 553-nucleotide long non-coding RNA is filed under the name Gouania willdenowi (blunt-snouted clingfish). RNAcentral describes it as "lncRNA (ENSGWIG00000000352.1)". The record is from RNAcentral. Lineage: Eukaryota; Metazoa; Chordata; Actinopteri; Blenniiformes; Gobiesocidae.
AACAGGAAGUGCAAUGUGUUCACUCUGCUUUCAUCAAUGCUUCAAGAGGUGGCCGCUCACAGAUGAAAUAGACUGCACAUGUGAAGCUGUCGCCUGAAGAACCCUGAGGACUUCUGGAACCAGACAGUCACGGUCAAUGAGCAAAAUGGAAGCAAAAACAAACAAAAAAAACCAACAUGACCUCUGGCUCAGGAAGGUCAGCCUUUAAAUACUCCCUAAUAUACAGUGUAUUUGCUUUCUGAGCCUCAGGGAAACUGAGACUAUUAGGCAGACAUUAUGUCUUCAUUUAGUUAGAUGCAGAGCCGCUUCAUCGCCAACCGGAGCCAAUAAUGCCCCGCAGCAUUCAGUGACCCAAUCGCCAUCAGACAUUCAGCCAACCCUCAGACAGAAGGUGUCUUGAAGCUGGCUCAACUAGUCUGGGACUAGCCUCAAACAAGAACAUGGGCAGAGUAUAGCAUGAUAAGCAGUGCAAAUAAUAGCAGAGUUGAUUUAAUGAUAUAGUCAGAGAAUUGCUACCCCCUGCUGUUAUGACACAAAUACUGCCACAAAAUAC